AUUUAAUUAAGUUAAAUAAAAACUUAUUUUUUGUCAAAAAAUCAAUCUUAAAAAGAUUAAAUA
This 63-nucleotide transfer RNA is filed under the name Partulina redfieldi. Its description in RNAcentral is "tRNA-Asp". The record is from RNAcentral. Lineage: Eukaryota; Metazoa; Mollusca; Gastropoda; Stylommatophora; Achatinellidae.